This is a long non-coding RNA of Apus apus (common swift), 2634 nucleotides long. RefSeq lists it as uncharacterized. The transcript is spliced from 2 exons. NCBI's taxonomy places the organism in Eukaryota, Metazoa, Chordata, Aves, Apodiformes, Apodidae. The record is from RefSeq and is a predicted model, not a curated record.
CUCCCUCUCUCCCCUCCAACCCCUCCAAAGAGUUAUGUCAUAACAACCCUGCCCAGCUCUCACCUAGCUGGGCAGAUGCAACACUUCAUUCCUAGAGACACUCCUCUUGGAAUUGUCCCCUGCACAGACUCACAUGGUUUUCUUCCCAGGCAACUUCUUAAGCAGCUACAAAGGCAAAGGCAAAGCAACGCAACUGUGCGACGUCCCCCGUUUCCAAAAGGAGGGGGAAAGAGCUGCAGCCCGGGGGAAAGGCAGCACCGACACCUGGAGGAGCCUCCCAGGGCACAGCCCCGGCUGCGUGUGCUCGGGCACCACACGCUGCCCUGUGCUGGCUGCCAGUGCUCCCGCGGCACAGCCGGCGGGGAGGCAGCCCUGGCAGCCAGGCAGGCACCGGCAUCACCAGCAGGUCUUUCCUGACUGCCCUUGGAGGAGUGAUGUUGCCAGGAUUGGAAGACUGAGCAGGUACCUUAGCUUCAUGCUCCCAGGGGUUUCAAGACCAUUAGAAACAUGACUGCCUUGGUGCUGCUGAUGGCACUUCCAGAGAAGAUCUUCCUGCAGCACCCGGUCCCAUUGAAAUAGUCUCGUGGUGAAACCUCAGCCCUCUUCAGGGACUGGUAGAAGUGAUACAGUGCUCACAGAAGCAGAACUGGGGAAACAUUUCCAACCAAAACAAGUGCCAAUAGUCUAAGAAAUGGAGCAUAUGAUUUCUAGAUAGAUAGCUUUCAAUGUAACUGUUUUGUGCCUAUCACUGCUUUGCAACAAAAAUGUUCCAUUUCAAACAUUAACCACCAGCCUUCAUUCACCUCUUGUCCAGAGCCACCUCUACCUCUGUGCAGCUUUUCUACCUUUCAAACCAAGCUAGGAAAGGUGCUGAUCUGUUUUGGAGCUGUGACUGCAAACCUUGCUUCCUCCCAUGCUCAGAAGAGGCUCGGGAUGCAGGCAGCUCACAUGGCACCUCAGCUCCACACACUAACAAAUGCAGACCAUAAAUCUGGAUGCUAACAGACAAAAGACAUUAAAGUAGCAGUGGGAAUCUAAGAGGAGCAGUAAAAAGCACCUGAACCCCACUGUCUACUAAACAGCAAGGCUUUCUCCAGGCUAAUGUGAGCUGGGACUGUUUUUCAGUUGAUGUGGAGAACUGAAGGUGAAGCAUUAAGUCUGCAAAACUCAGCAAAGUCUUCAACAAGCCAUAAAGCAGCUAAAAAUCCUCUUAGCUAGUAACAAAUGCUGUAAUCCCUAAAAGCCAGGCUCAAAUUUUAAGGAAUCCCAUUGGUCAGAUAAGACAUAAAAAGAAAUGUCACUGUUUUCUAGGAAUGAAUCAAUAUCCUCUCAUUCAGUGGCACCAACAAAGAUGGAUAGAAGAGUCCAGCAGAGAAGUACCACCUGCUGUAAACAAGGAAAGGAAACACGAAAUACAGGGAAUACUUGCAGCACAACUUGGUCCCUUUUGUAGAAAUUGGAUCUGCAGAUGAAAAGAUUUAUGCCCACGCAUACUAACACCUGUCUGGAGGACUCUUGCAAAACAGAGCUGUGUGAAAACAGGAAAAGAUUUUGUGCCACAAUAUUUUGUAAAUAAACACAAAAGCAUAAAUAAUUCCACACAAUUUCAACAUCUUGUGCUUAAAAAUUAUUCUGUACCUCAUGCUGCUGACUAGCUUUUUAACUCUACACAAAUAAUUACAAAUAAGUUUAUAAUACGUACAUAAAUUUACAUUGAAAUUUGAAACUGCUGACAAUUUUGGAAGAUAAAUCAUCUGUCAGAGAUUAAGAAUUGUAUAAUCCCUUCCUCCGCUCUGGGAAAAGGAAAGCAAAAUAGAGACUGUCAGGGAAAGUGCAUUUUUUGGGGGAAAGAGCUGAACUGGAAAUAAAAAUUGAAUUAUUCCUGGAAAUAAAAUUAAAAUAACCUACAAUAAAAUUAGCAUGCUCAGACAUUCACAAGUAGAGCAUCACACUUGGUUGUGCUGGAGGUAACGUCAGUUUGGACUUCUCAGACAUGGCACCAAAUCACAAUUCACAUUAAUGGUGGCAGCUGAAAUAAAGUCUCAGAGGGGAUGGGUCAAAACCUUAAAUGGGGACCAGAGCCUGCUACCCAUGAUUUUCAAGCAGAUAACAGGGCUGUUACAGCUGAUGCUGCAGCCAGCUGCAUGAAAAAGGCAGGGCCACGGGGAGUCCACACAUCGACCAGUGUGGAGCUGCUGGAGCAGCCAUGAACUUUGUUCACAUCAGAGAGAUCAGAUCUAUAAAUAAUACACAUUAUCCAGCCUUAAAUCCAUGCCAAAGUAAACAGGCUAAAGAGUGCCUAUCACAAAAAUACCUUAACCAUAUACUGAAAUGCAUCCUCCUUCUUACCCCAUGCAGGCAGUGGGAAGAGAAUUUAAAGUUAAUAACAAUGUUUGUUUGAGCAGUUGGGCUGGGUUGCAAUUGCUGAACAAAAUGAAGGAAGUUUGCUGGGGAUGCUGUGAGAAAGACAAGUUUAAAAGGGAAGUUUGUGUUUAAUUAUAAACAGCAAGGUUAAUGAUCACUCUUAUUUUAUCUGACAAAGAAUUUCUUAGUAUUGAUCCAGCUCCCUCUAACCAGGAUGGGUUUUUUUUCUUCCUUUGAAGGAAAAAAUGAAUAAAACAAAUAGCAACAAUG